This 233-nucleotide unclassified non-coding RNA is filed under the name Hevea brasiliensis (rubber tree). Lineage: Eukaryota; Viridiplantae; Streptophyta; Magnoliopsida; Malpighiales; Euphorbiaceae. The record is from RNAcentral.
AAAGAAUUUAACUUGCUAAAGAGGCAGCAAGAAUAGACGCAAUGUUAUGAAGGAGCAUGUUGAUGUAGAAACGUAUAGUAGAUAUUCAAAUUAUGCUUGCGUGUAUUUCUAAUUCAUCUAGGGGAAAAAACUGAAUCAAAUCUACGCAAAUGAUUCAAUGAAUGAAGCACUAAAUAUCACUAAACUUAAUUUCUGAAAAUUAGUUAAAAACAAGAAGCUAUUACACACCAUUG